CGGAAUGUGACGCAGCCCGGUAGCGUGUUUGUUUUGGGAACAAAUUGUCAUAGGUUCAAAUCCUAUCAUUCCGA
RNAcentral lists this transfer RNA (74 nucleotides) under Hyphochytrium catenoides. RNAcentral's name for it is "trnP(tgg)". It matches the Rfam family "tRNA". From Rfam's summary of the family: Transfer RNA (tRNA) molecules are approximately 80 nucleotides in length. Their secondary structure includes four short double-helical elements and three loops (D, anti-codon, and T loops). The record is from RNAcentral. Lineage: Eukaryota; Hyphochytriomycetes; Hyphochytriales; Hyphochytriaceae.